RNAcentral lists this long non-coding RNA (903 nucleotides) under Mus musculus (house mouse). Its description in RNAcentral is "predicted gene, 49953". Lineage: Eukaryota; Metazoa; Chordata; Mammalia; Rodentia; Muridae. The record is from RNAcentral.
AGUAUUCUGCUAGCAGCCUUCAGAUGAGGAUGUAGAACUCUCAGCUCCUGCACCAUGCCUGCCUGGAUGCUGUCAUGUUCCUGCCUUGAUAAUAGACUGAACCUAUACAAGGGCGAGCACAGGCAGAAGCAGAGACGUCUGGGAGAAUCCAGAGUGGACAGGACCAUGACUGACCAACUAGAGCAGCUCUGCCCAAAGCUGGGCUGUGAACUGAAUUGGGCAGAACUGGAAUUUAUGAUUUGAGCACUUCCACACAAACCUCCUUCACACCACCCUGCUCUGCAGUGAAAGUCUAAGAAGCUGAGAGGAACUAAGUCCUGAGAGGGAACCAGUCCCUGAAGCACGUGGUGAGCAUAAGAAAAACAACAAAGCUUCAUCCAGCAUCCACAGCACCAGCACACGUGACUGCUGCAGCGGCCACUGAGAGCGAGAGGGAAAUAUCAGCCCCGGGGAAGAGUAGGAAGCGGUGGCCACAAGGCAGCCUGAAUGCUGGUUUAUCACUUUGGAAUUCAGCUCCACUCAAGCUUUUCAGGAGAUGGGCAGAAGGCAGCAGCAGAGUCUUUUCCAAACUGUAACACGAGUGCCCGUAGUCGGAUUUCCAAGCCUGUCUGAACCUUGGGAACCUGGGGCUCCAUGUCUCUCUCAGCACUCUGGACUUCUGAACUCCUACCAGAAUAUCUCUUUAAGCCCUAAUUACAGCAUCCACAGCUUCUCUGACCUGCAGCUUCAAACUUUUCCAUGAUCUAGUUCCAUAAGUCUAUGAACCAUAUGAGUCGGGUUUAUCACAGUGACAGCCCUACUUCUGGUACUAUUUUUUUGUAUUAGUUACUUAGCUUGUUGGUGUCACAAAAUACCUAAUAAAAGCAAGCUACAAGAGGAAGGGCAAGAAAAGAAAAAAAAAAA